This is a long non-coding RNA of Homarus americanus (American lobster), 616 nucleotides long. RefSeq lists it as uncharacterized. The record is from RefSeq and is a predicted model, not a curated record. NCBI's taxonomy places the organism in Eukaryota, Metazoa, Arthropoda, Malacostraca, Decapoda, Nephropidae. The transcript has 3 exons.
GGAUAUGGAGGUGGCACUGUUGUUUCCGGGUUGUCCUGGGAGGUUGUGUUGAUGCUAGGAUAUGGAGGUGGCACUGUUGUUUCCGGGUUGUCCUGGGAGGUUGUGUUGAUGCUAGGAUGUGGAGGUGGCACUGUUGUUUCCGGGUUGUCCUGGGAGGUUGUGUUGAUGCUAGGAUAUGGAGGUGGCACAGUUGUUUCAGAGUUGUCCUGGGAGGUUGUGUUGAUGCUAGGAUAUGGAGGUAGCACUGUUGUUUCUGAGUUGUCCUGGGAGGUUGUGUUGAUGCUAGGAUGUGGAGGUGGCACUGUUGUUUCUGGGUUGUCCUGGGAGGUUGUGUUGAUGCUAGGAUAUGGAGGUGGCACUGUUGUUUCAGAGUUGUCCUGGGAGGUUGUACUGAUGCCCGGAACUUCAAAUGGCACCAUAGUUGAGUUAGCAUGACUGACCGUUACCCGUAAGCAAAAUAUAGUCAACAGAAGCGCGGUUAGUGUCGAGUGGCAACCCAUUCUGAGUCCCGGUAACCGUGAAGUGGUACUGAACUUCACAACACUAUAGCUUCAACAGUAGACAAGCCCCGUCCUGUCACGGGAGGGGGUGGGUGGCGAAUGUGAGGAGAGCCACA